CAGUAGCCGUGGGAAUACGUAGGGUGCAAGCGUUGUCCGGAAUUAUUGGGCGUAAAGAGCUCGUAGGCGGUUUGUCGCGUCGGCUGUGAAAACCUGAGGCUCAACCUCGGGCCUGCAGUCGAUACGGGCAGACUAGAGUUCGGUAGGGGAGACUGGAAUUCCUGGUGUAGCGGUGGAAUGCGCAGAUAUCAGGGGGAACACCGGUGGCGAAGGCGGGUCUCUGGGCCGAAACUGACGCUGAGGAGCGAAAGCGUGGGGAGCGAACAGGAUUAGAUACCCGCGUAGUCCCUGUCUCUUAUAC
RNAcentral lists this ribosomal RNA (301 nucleotides) under uncultured bacterium. RNAcentral's name for it is "partial 16S ribosomal RNA". It matches the Rfam family "Bacterial small subunit ribosomal RNA", at positions 509 to 807 of the family's 1533-position model. The record is from RNAcentral.